Molecule: small nucleolar RNA, 121 nt
Organism: Alexandromys fortis (reed vole)
Lineage: Eukaryota; Metazoa; Chordata; Mammalia; Rodentia; Cricetidae
Product: small nucleolar RNA SNORA22
Exons: 1
Source: RefSeq, a predicted model, not a curated record
UUGCACAGUGUACACCCAAUUACCUUGGCCUUGAAUCUGUGCUAGAGUAAAGCCUCUUCUUUUCCUCUCCAACGAAAGGGUACUGUGUCCUCUUAAAUGUGUUCAGAAAAUCAGCAUAUCA